AUCUUGGGGUCAUGAGUUUGAGCCCCACACUGGGUGUACAGAUUAGUUAAAUAAAUAAACUUUAAAAAAAAAAAAAAAGCUUUAUUUAAAACAAACCUUUACAUUACACACUUUCCAGAAUUUAUACUCUUAAAUUUUCACCUUACAUUAUUUAUGUUUUCUAUUAAACGUGAGGUUUCAGCCAAAUGAUAAACACCAGUAGAAUACCAGAUACAGGUCACAAUUAAAAAGUGAAAAUAACUGGCAGAAUGUUUAUUAGAUAAGGUAUAACCACAUGAAUCAAUCUAAUGACAUAAGUCUCAUCAUUUAUUCACCCAGCUUCUCUCUC
Long non-coding RNA from Leopardus geoffroyi (Geoffroy's cat), 328 nucleotides. RefSeq lists it as uncharacterized. Lineage: Eukaryota; Metazoa; Chordata; Mammalia; Carnivora; Felidae. The transcript has 3 exons. The record is from RefSeq and is a predicted model, not a curated record.